GGUUGACAUAAGCUGCUUUACGUCAAUCUAACUCUGUAGUAUAAACCAGGCCUUAGAAUGACCUAGCUAUGUUACUCAAGCCUGCAAAAAAAUUCAUAUCCUGACUGCUGUGGUUUGGAAAAACUAACUCCUGGUUGAGACGCAGCUAGGUAACAGAUGAAUUCUUCCAUUGGCCUAGCUAGUGCAUCUUGAAGAGGAAGAUUAACUACAUUGAUGUCAAGAAGUAAUGGGUGGUAAGCAAACAAGACUCUUGAGGCAGCUGCAAUGAGGUCCCUAAAGUAGUAAUUGGAUUUCACGUUGGGAAAAGGAUAAGGGGGAAAAGAACUUUUCCAAACCUCUCUGCCAAGCACCAUCUGCUGUCUCCAUCGUAAACUGCAGUACUAGAGAGAAGACUUUGAAGCACAGGUGGUCAGGGAAAGAGAGGGAAUGUGUUAUGUUGGAGGUCUGCCAGGUUCAACAAAAGGAAGAGAAAGAAUGGAGGAGCUAAGAUAUAGGGGAGAUACAGAGAGAGAGGAGCAGCAAAUACACUAAAGAAUAAAACGAUGUUGGAAAGAAAAAAAAUCCCAGAAGAAGAGGCCUGAGAGCAGAGAGGACAGGAAGAGGCGAGAUAGUGGCAAAUAUAUCAAGACAUGUUGCUGUGUGGCAGAGGGACAAGACAUGCCCAGACAUCAGUCCAUUGGAAUGGAUUCACCCGGCAUGACUGGGAAUG
Mauremys reevesii (Reeves's turtle) is the source of this 709-nucleotide long non-coding RNA. RefSeq lists it as uncharacterized. NCBI's taxonomy places the organism in Eukaryota, Metazoa, Chordata, Testudines, Geoemydidae. The record is from RefSeq and is a predicted model, not a curated record. The transcript is spliced from 3 exons.